This 374-nucleotide long non-coding RNA is filed under the name Hordeum vulgare. Its description in RNAcentral is "long non-coding RNA (HVUL_LNC003032)". Lineage: Eukaryota; Viridiplantae; Streptophyta; Magnoliopsida; Poales; Poaceae. The record is from RNAcentral.
UACGGGGAGACGCUGUACGCGUCGCGGGAGCGGGACUGCGGCGUGGCGGCCAGCAGGUCGGCCAGCACGUACGCGAGGCUCUCCGCGAAGGGGUCCCCGGCGCCGUACGCCGCGCCGUUGCACAGCACGGAGAGCGGUGCCGUGUUGGGCGCGCCGCUGGCGGUGUGCGGGCAGCAGGAGAGGAGGUGCAGCAACGCGAGGGGGAGGAAGAGGAGCCGGUCCGCUCUGCGUGAGCUCGCCAUGGUGCCUCCGACUCCGAUCUUGGGCUACGCCGCUACGGGUGUAGGUGUGUGUGUGUGUGGUUGCUGCCUUGUUGGUGGUGCUGGCGUUGCGAGCUUUGGGAACAACGGUGUCUAGCUAUGAGUGGGAAGAUA